RNAcentral lists this long non-coding RNA (218 nucleotides) under Phoenix dactylifera (date palm). Its description in RNAcentral is "long non-coding RNA (PDAC_LNC004961)". Lineage: Eukaryota; Viridiplantae; Streptophyta; Magnoliopsida; Arecales; Arecaceae. The record is from RNAcentral.
UUGAUGCAAAUACAAUCUUUUAAACUUCGUUCUUAAACUGCAUUUUUUAAUAUUUAUAUGUCCAAUUAACUUAGUAAUAAAGGAUAUUAAUAAGCAAGUUGGGUUAUGAGUUACAUCCAAACUACUCCAUACGGUAAAAUAUAUACUAGAUUGAUAUAUAUACUUAAUGCUUACACCUUGAUUGGAAUCUCUCCCAUUUUUACACAAAAAGUUUGAUG